RNAcentral lists this ribosomal RNA (492 nucleotides) under uncultured bacterium. Its description in RNAcentral is "partial 16S ribosomal RNA". It matches the Rfam family "Bacterial small subunit ribosomal RNA", at positions 29 to 507 of the family's 1533-position model. The record is from RNAcentral.
AGUGAACGCUGGCGGUAGGCCUAACACAUGCAAGUCGAACGGCAGCGCAGUAAGAGCUUGCUCUUACGGGUGGCGAGUGGCGGACGGGUGAGGAAUACAUCGGAAUCUACUUUUUCGUGGGGGAUAACGUAGGGAGACUUACGCUAAUACCGCAUACGACCUACGGGUGAAAGCAGGGGAUCUUCGGACCUUGCGCGAUUGAAUGAGCCGAUGUCGGAUUAGCUAGUUGGCGGGGUAAAGGCCCACCAAGGCGACGAUCCGUAGCUGGUCUGAGAGGAUGAUCAGCCACACUGGAACUGAGACACGGUCCAGACUCCUACGGGAGGCAGCAGUGGGGAAUAUUGGACAAUGGGCGCAAGCCUGAUCCAGCCAUACCGCGUGGGUGAAGAAGGCCUUCGGGUUGUAAAGCCCUUUUGUUGGGAAAGAAAAGCAGCAGGUUAAUACCCCGCUGUUCUGACGGUACCCAAAGAAUAAGCACCGGCUAACUUCGUG